This is a long non-coding RNA of Oncorhynchus tshawytscha (Chinook salmon), 1655 nucleotides long. The record is from Ensembl. NCBI's taxonomy places the organism in Eukaryota, Metazoa, Chordata, Actinopteri, Salmoniformes, Salmonidae.
GUCAGUGACUAGGCUACAUGGGGUUCUGCUAGGUGUCAGUGACUAGGCUACAUGGGGUUCUGCUAGGUGUCAGUGACUAGGCUACAUGGGGUUCUGCUAGGUGUCAGUGACUAGGCUACAUGGGGUUGUACUAGGUGUCAGUGACUAGGCUACAUGGGGUUCUGCUAGGUGUCAGUGACUAGGCUACAUGGGGUUCUGCUAGGUGUCAGUGACUAGGCUACAUGGGGUUGUCCUAGGUGGCAGUGACUAGGCUACAUGGGGUUCUGCUAGAUGUCAGUGACUAGGCUACAUGGGGUUCUGCUAGAUGUCAGUGACUAGGCUACAUGGGGUUCUGCUAGAUGUCAGUGACUAGGCUACAUGGGGUUCUGCUAGGUGUCAGUGACUAGGCUACAUGGGGUUCUGCUAGAUGUCAGUGACUAGGCUACAUGGGGUUCUGCUAGGUGUCAGUGACUAGACAAGGCAAGGCAUGACAAGGUAGCUAAUAAAGGAUCGUUUUCAAGCGGUUUGUUUACCCAGAAAUCAUUAACUGUCAACAUUAUACCAUUGUUCAUCAGCAGCACUCAACACAAAAAUGGAACAAGCUGCAUGAUUUGCCGCAAUCAAAGUUCCUUCUGGAAAAAAUACUCCAUUCAAUUCAAUUCAUCGAACGCAGUUACUGAUUUUGUUUAAUAAAGUUAUUUCUGUGCCACCCACACAAAGGCAAAAGGUGAUGUCAAAUGUUCAUGUCCUACAGACAGAGACACACUUAACAAAAAUAUAAAUGCAACAAUUUCUAAGACCUUACUGAGUUACAGUACAUAUAAGGAAAUCAGUCAAUUGAAAGAAAUGCAUUAGGCCCUUAUCUAUGGAUUUCACGUGACUGGGCAGAAGAACAACCAUUGGUGGGCCGGGGAGGGCAUAGGCCAACCUACUGGGGAGCCAGACCCACUCCCUGGGGAUAAUUUGUUUUUAUCCACAAAAGGGCUUUAUUAGACAGAAAUACUCCUCAGCCCCCCGCAGGUGAAGAAGACAGAUGUGGAGGUCCUGGACUGGUGUGGUUACACGUGGUCUGCGGUUGUGAGGCUGGUUGGACGUACUGCCAGAUUCUCUAAAACGAAGUUGGAGGCAGCUUACAGUAGAGAAAUUAAUAUUUAAUACCCUUGCAACAACUCUGGUGGACAUUCCUGCAGUCAGCAUGCCAAUUGCACGCUCCCUCAAAACAUGAGACAUUUGUGGCAUUGUGUUGUGUGACAAAACUGCACAUUUUAGAGUGUCCUUUUAUUGUCCACAGCACAAGGUGCACCUGUGUAAUGAUCAUGCUGUUUAAUCAGCUUCUUGAUAUGCCACACCUGUCAGGUUGAUGGAUUAUAUUGGCAAAUGAGAAAUGCUCACUAACAGGGAUGUAAACAUAUUUGUGCAUAAAAUAUGAGUGAAAUAAGCUUUUUGUGCGUAUGGAAAACUUCUUUCCAUGUUGAUUUGAUGUUUUUCAGUCUCCAUAAAGUAAAACACCAAACCCUACCCUCCUCCACUCCAAACUAGAGUGAGAAGAGGCUGCAAGAGAAAUAUAAAGUGGAGCAAAACUAGUACUUCCUCUCUAAGUCUAGCUGUAUCCCACACAUCUCUCAACAGAUAGCACUGAGCAAGGAGCAGCUUUAGGUCUGCCAGACAUCUCUCAA